GUGGAAAUCAUUUGUAAAGAGGGGGUGCUGGAAAAAUCAUAAUACACCUAUGUAACUUUUUCCAGGAUAAUAGUGCUUUCGGAGGGAGAUUUAUAAAUCGUAAAAACACACAAACAGGUUUAGCGUGGAUUUUGUAGGCAAUGGGCCCCUGUUAAAUUUUAUCACAUCAUUGAUGUAAUGAUGAAUCACAAUUAUAUGCUUCCGUGUAAACCAUUAUUUUACAGAAUUUCAAAGAGAAUGACU
RNAcentral lists this unclassified non-coding RNA (243 nucleotides) under Hevea brasiliensis (rubber tree). The record is from RNAcentral. Lineage: Eukaryota; Viridiplantae; Streptophyta; Magnoliopsida; Malpighiales; Euphorbiaceae.